This 886-nucleotide ribosomal RNA is filed under the name Lactiplantibacillus plantarum. Its description in RNAcentral is "bacterial SSU rRNA". It matches the Rfam family "Bacterial small subunit ribosomal RNA", at positions 60 to 921 of the family's 1533-position model. The record is from RNAcentral. Lineage: Bacteria; Bacillati; Bacillota; Bacilli; Lactobacillales; Lactobacillaceae.
GUUCGAACGAACUUUGGUAUUGAUUGGUGCUUGCAUCAUGAUUUACAUUUGAGUGAGUGGCGAACUGGUGAGUAACACGUGGGAAACCUGCCCAGAAGCGGGGGAUAACACCUGGAAACAGAUGCUAAUACCGCAUAACAACUUGGACCGCAUGGUCCGAGUUUGAAAGAUGGCUUCGGCUAUCACUUUUGGAUGGUCCCGCGGCGUAUUAGCUAGAUGGUGGGGUAACGGCUCACCAUGGCAAUGAUACGUAGCCGACCUGAGAGGGUAAUCGGCCACAUUGGGACUGAGACACGGCCCAAACUCCUACGGGAGGCAGCAGUAGGGAAUCUUCCACAAUGGACGAAAGUCUGAUGGAGCAACGCCGCGUGAGUGAAGAAGGGUUUCGGCUCGUAAAACUCUGUUGUUAAAGAAGAACAUAUCUGAGAGUAACUGUUCAGGUAUUGACGGUAUUUAACCAGAAAGCCACGGCUAACUACGUGCCAGCAGCCGCGGUAAUACGUAGGUGGCAAGCGUUGUCCGGAUUUAUUGGGCGUAAAGCGAGCGCAGGCGGUUUUUUAAGUCUGAUGUGAAAGCCUUCGGCUCAACCGAAGAAGUGCAUCGGAAACUGGGAAACUUGAGUGCAGAAGAGGACAGUGGAACUCCAUGUGUAGCGGUGAAAUGCGUAGAUAUAUGGAAGAACACCAGUGGCGAAAGCGGCUGUCUGGUCUGUAACUGACGCUGAGCUCGAAAGUAUGGGUAGCAACAGAUUAGAUACCCUGGUAGUCCAUACCGUAACGAUGAUGCUAGUGUUGGAGGGUUUCGCCCUUCAUUGCUGCAGCUACGCAUAGCAUCCGCCUGGGGGAGUACGCGCAAGCUGAAACUCUAAAGGAAUUUGACGGGGGGC